RNAcentral lists this ribosomal RNA (253 nucleotides) under uncultured bacterium. RNAcentral describes it as "partial 16S ribosomal RNA". It matches the Rfam family "Bacterial small subunit ribosomal RNA", at positions 524 to 776 of the family's 1533-position model. The record is from RNAcentral.
UACGAAGGGGGCUAGCGUUGUUCGGAAUUACUGGGCGUAAAGGGCGCGCAGGCGGCCCUCCAAGUCAGGCGUGAAAGCCCCGGGCUCAACCCGGGAAUAGCGCUUGAGACUGGGGGGCUUGAGUUCGGGAGAGGAGAGUGGAAUUCCCAGUGUAGAGGUGAAAUUCGUAGAUAUUGGGAAGAACACCAGUGGCGAAGGCGACUUACUGGACACAUAUUGACGCUGAGGUGCGAAAGCGUGGGGAGCAAACAGG